Molecule: ribosomal RNA, 87 nt
Filed under: uncultured bacterium
Lineage: Bacteria
Description: partial 16S ribosomal RNA
Source: RNAcentral
UUGUACACACCGCCCGUCAAACCAUGAAAGUGACCCUAACACCCGGAAGUCCGAUUCGUCGCCUAAGGUGGGGGCAUGAGUUGGGUU